Chelonoidis abingdonii (Abingdon island giant tortoise) is the source of this 160-nucleotide unclassified non-coding RNA. Lineage: Eukaryota; Metazoa; Chordata; Testudines; Testudinidae. The record is from Ensembl.
UUCACAUCUCUGUAAGCCGAGUCCUCCCCACAGAACAGGACUGACAAAGGCAAGCUUCCCCACAGUGCUCUGCCAAUAUGCCUCAACCCUGCAUUGGAGGGAUCAUCUCUAGUGGAGAGGGUGAAAUUUAGUCUCCAUGUCUAUUCAGUUGUCUUAUUUU